CAGUAGCCACGGUAAAACGGAGGGGGCUAGCGUUGUUCGGAAUUACUGGGCGUAAAGCGCACGUAGGCUGCUUUGUAAGUUAGAGGUGAAAGCCUGGUGCUCAACACCAGAACUGCCUUUAAGACUGCAGAGCUAGAACGUCGGAGAGGUGAGUGGAAUUCCGAGUGUAGAGGUGAAAUUCGUAGAUAUUCGGAAGAACACCAGUGGCGAAGGCGGCUCACUGGACGACUGUUGACGCUGAGGUGCGAAAGCGUGGGGAGCAAACAGGAUUAGAUACCCCCGUAGUCCCUGUCUCUUAUAC
Molecule: ribosomal RNA, 301 nt
Filed under: uncultured bacterium
Lineage: Bacteria
Description: partial 16S ribosomal RNA
Rfam family: Bacterial small subunit ribosomal RNA
Source: RNAcentral